RNAcentral lists this ribosomal RNA (253 nucleotides) under uncultured bacterium. RNAcentral describes it as "partial 16S ribosomal RNA". It matches the Rfam family "Archaeal small subunit ribosomal RNA", at positions 474 to 727 of the family's 1478-position model. The record is from RNAcentral.
UACCAGCACCCCGAGUGGUCGGGACGAUUAUUGGGCCUAAAGCAUCCGUAGCCGGUCCUACAAGUCUUCCGUUAAAUCCACCUGCUUAACAGAUGGGCUGCGGAAGAUACUAUAGGGCUAGGAGGCGGGAGAGGCAAGCGGUACUCAGUGGGUAGGGGUAAAAUCCAUUGAUCCAUUGAAGACCACCAGUGGCGAAGGCGGCUUGCCAGAAUGCGCUCGACGGUGAGGGAUGAAAGCUGGGGGAGCAAACCGG